GCGUUAAUCGGAAUUACUGGGCGUAAAGCGCACGCAGGCGGUCUGUCAAGUCGGAUGUGAAAUCCCCGGGCUCAACCUGGGAACUGCAUUCGAAACUGGCAGGCUAGAGUCUUGUAGAGGGGGGUAGAAUUCCAGGUGUAGCGGUGAAAUGCGUAGAGAUCUGGAGGAAUACCGGUGGCGAAGGCGGCCCCCUGGACAAAGACUGACGCUCAGGUGCGAAAGCGUGGGGAGCAAACAGGAUUAGAUACCCUGGUAGUCCACGCUGUAAACGAUGUCGAUUUGGAGGUUGUGCCCUUGAGGCGUGGCUUCCGGAGCUAACGCGUUAAAUCGACCGCCUGGGGAGUACGGCCGCAAGGUUAAAACUCAAAUGAAUUGACGGGGGCCCGCACAAGCGGUGGAGCAUGUGGUUUAAUUCGAUGCAACGCGAAGAACCUUACCUG
This 440-nucleotide ribosomal RNA is filed under the name Klebsiella variicola. RNAcentral's name for it is "bacterial SSU rRNA". It matches the Rfam family "Bacterial small subunit ribosomal RNA", at positions 538 to 977 of the family's 1533-position model. The record is from RNAcentral. Lineage: Bacteria; Pseudomonadati; Pseudomonadota; Gammaproteobacteria; Enterobacterales; Enterobacteriaceae.